RNAcentral lists this ribosomal RNA (495 nucleotides) under uncultured bacterium. Its description in RNAcentral is "partial 16S ribosomal RNA". It matches the Rfam family "Bacterial small subunit ribosomal RNA", at positions 28 to 507 of the family's 1533-position model. The record is from RNAcentral.
GACGAACGCUGGCGGCGUGCCUAAUACAUGCAAGUAGAACGCUGAAGGAGGAGCUUGCUUCUCUGGAUGAGUUGCGAACGGGUGAGUAACGCGUAGGUAACCUGCCUGGUAGCGGGGGAUAACUAUUGGAAACGAUAGCUAAUACCGCAUAAUAGUAGAUGUUGCAUGACAUUUGCUUAAAAGGUGCAAUUGCAUCACUACCAGAUGGACCUGCGUUGUAUUAGCUAGUUGGUGGGGUAACGGCUCACCAAGGCGACGAUACAUAGCCGACCUGAGAGGGUGGUCGGCCACACUGGGACUGAGACACGGCCCAGACUCCUACGGGAGGCAGCAGUAGGGAAUCUUCGGCAAUGGACGGGAGUCUGACCGAGCAACGCCGCGUGAGUGAAGAAGGUUUUCGGAUCGUAAAGCUCUGUUGUAAGAGAAGAACGAGGGUGAGAGUGGAAAGUUCACACUGUGACGGUAUCUUACCAGAAAGGGACGGCUAACUACGUG